Abrus precatorius (Indian licorice) is the source of this 1924-nucleotide RNA transcript. RefSeq lists it as uncharacterized. The record is from RefSeq and is a predicted model, not a curated record. The transcript has 6 exons. Lineage: Eukaryota; Viridiplantae; Streptophyta; Magnoliopsida; Fabales; Fabaceae.
UUUCUUCGUUGCUACCAGCUCGGCUCAUGCCGUUCAAACCCAUCUUCUGUGCUUCAUUUCUGUCUUCAUAGUUCCCGCCAUUUUUUUCAUAAUUAUGAAGGUUCGUUGAGAAACCCUAGUUUUUUCUUUCUCUAAUAAUUUGGUACUAACUCUAAUAGCUGGUGAAGCAUAAUCUUAAUUGCAAUGGCCUUUGAAGAUUUUGAACCCAUCUUUCGUGAACCCAAAGUGGAGAGGCCGUCUCAAAGUUCAUGUCCUUUAGGUCCCUUUUUGAUCCACGCCUUUGCUCUUCAUUCUCAUUCUCCUCAUAUUGUAAUUCGUGUCACCGAUUUCGUCGCUGACGCUUGGGAAGCGCGUCUCUCACUCUCCAUGCUUGAGGACAUUAGGGACAGUGUUGGAAUAGGGGGCUCGUGGUCAGAGUUUGCUGAUUAUUUUGUAACGUCCCUCAAGUCAGAAGAUCUGAAGCUGAUUCUAGAGGCAAAUUCCAAUUCUGAUGAUGUUAGUCAUGCAAAAUUAGUAGCUCAGAGAUCAAAAGGGAUGCCUUUGAUCACCAUUCCUCUUACCAAACUUGUGGAUUCCACUGCUAUUAAAGUUAGGUCAAAUGUUGCCUUUAGCCUCUUUGAGGCAAUGAGAAGCAAAGAGUGCUCUCUGGUGAAAGAACAAGAGCACUCUGUUGAGUUGACAAACAUGUUAGCAGCUGAAAAGCAAUUAUGCCUGAAUGAUUUCUAUCGAAAACUUUGGCUAUAUUUCACCUUUAAGAUACCCUCAGAAUUUGAAGUUAAUUAGAUAAGUUUUUAUUCUUAUACGUUUGGGAUGGAAAGUUAACUUUCAUCCAUUUGCUGCUAUAAUAAGUUGGUAAGAUUAGCUCUUUUUCCCCUUAAUAAUUGUCAGCUUAUUAUGAGCACUCUGUCUACCUGCCAGGAAAGAAAUGAAACCAUACAACUGGAACAGCGGCAGAAGUUUCAAAAGCUUUGUGGCCCAGAAAAAGGUGUUUCUAAUGAUGGAUUGCAAAACUCUCCAGAUAAGCAAGCUGCUUGGGAUACAGGUUCUACAAAGAUCAAGAAUCGUGCGAUGCCAGCAUAUCGCAGGCAAGUGUUCUUUUUCUGUCUUAUUAACCUUAAUUCUAGUACUACCGCUAUUAUCAUCGUAUACUCAUUCUCCUUUUUCUCCCGGGCAGGACCAAAGUAAGAGGGGCCCUCUUGCAUGAUAGUGAUAAAUGAGUUAUAACCCAGCUCUCAUUGAAAUCAGUUGCUUGGUAGGAAGUGAAAAUAUUGUGUUGACAAUAUAUAUACUUUUUAUUUAUUUUCACUCCCUUACUUUGUAUUGAUGUAAAGCAUAUAUAUUAGUAAGAUGAGUCACAUAAAUUUUCAGCAAUUUAUUCACUUUUUAAAUAUGCAAAUGAAAAUUGUUCAUUUGAUGCACUAUUGCCCUUCCCCAUUUAACCUUCAUUUAAGGGUUCUUUCUGUAUUUCAAAAUGUUAAUAUGGUUCUUUCGCAUUAAAUGGUUAAUGAUGUAAUUAUUGAGUAACACCAAGUACUCCCCAAUAGCAUUUUGGAGUUAUAUGUUAGGACAUUAGGAUUUGGCAAUCAACAAAGUGGUGGUCCCCUGGCUCAUCAAAUUUGUGGCUGAAAUUUCAUAAUGCUCCAGAACGAAUCAAAAUCUUCAAUAACUGUGUAAUUUGACAAGACUUCAAUUUUCAUCUGUCUUUAGGUCCAUUGUAUUUCAGAUAUUUUUACUGGUUGGUAGAGGGGGAAAUGUGAUGGGAGACUGAGCAGGAAACAAAUGAGGCAAUAUGUGUUAGUGUGCAUGUUUUCAACUUUUCACGGUUAAAGAUAAAAGACAUCCCACAAAGGAGAAAAUGUAAUUAUUUUGUGAAUUCUUACAGAAAAGAUAAGCAAGUUAGCUACGAGACAUUUGACGAUGAAGA